UGGGGAAUUUUGGACAAUGGGCGAAAGCCUGAUCCAGCAAUGCCGCGUGUGUGAAGAAGGCCUUCGGGUUGUAAAGCACUUUUGUCCGGAAAGAAAUCCUUGGCUCUAAUACAGUCGGGGGAUGACGGUACCGGAAGAAUAAGCACCGGCUAACUACGUGCCAGCAGCCGCGGUAAUACGUAGGGUGCAAGCGUUAAUCGGAAUUACUGGGCGUAAAGCGUGCGCAGGCGGUUUGCUAAGACCGAUGUGAAAUCCCGGGCUCAACCUGGGAACUGCAUUGGUGACUGGCAGGCUAGAGUAUGGCAGAGGGGGGUAGAAUUCCACGUGUAGCAGUGAAAUGCGUAGAGAUGUGGAGGAAUACCGAUGGCG
Molecule: ribosomal RNA, 369 nt
Filed under: uncultured bacterium
Lineage: Bacteria
Description: partial 16S ribosomal RNA
Rfam family: Bacterial small subunit ribosomal RNA
Source: RNAcentral